This 506-nucleotide ribosomal RNA is filed under the name uncultured bacterium. Its description in RNAcentral is "partial 16S ribosomal RNA". It matches the Rfam family "Bacterial small subunit ribosomal RNA", at positions 28 to 523 of the family's 1533-position model. The record is from RNAcentral.
GAUGAACGCUAGCUACAGGCUUAACACAUGCAAGUCGAGGGGUAACGAGAGGGAAGCUUGCUUUCCUUGUCGACGACCGGCGCACGGGUGAGUAACGCGUAUCCAACCUGCCCCCAACUAGGGAAUAACCUUGCGAAAGUAAGACUAAUACCCUAUAAUUUCCUCAGAUGUCAUCUGACGAGGAAUAAAGAUUUAUCGGUUGUGGAUGGGGAUGCGUCUGAUUAGCGUGUUGGCGGGGUAACGGCCCACCAAGGCAACGAUCAGUAGGGGUUCUGAGAGGAAGGUCCCCCACAUUGGAACUGAGGCACGGUCCAAACUCCUACGGGAGGCAGCAGUGAGGAAUACUGGUCAAUGGGCGGAAGCCUGAACCAGCCAAGUAGCGUGCAGGAUGACGGCCCUAUGGGUUGUAAACUGCUUUUAUACAGGAAUAAAGUUAGCCACGUGUGGUUAUUUGUAGGUACUGUAUGAAUAAGGACCGGCUAAUUCCGUGCCAGCCGCCGCUGUAA